UGCGGUUAAACAAAAGUUAAAUUAAAUUUUUUUAGGAUUAAUAAAUGUAAAUGAAUUGAGAGAAUAAUUUAAAUUUUAAAUUUUAAGGUGAAAUUUUAAUUUAAUUAAAAUUUAUUUGUUUAUAUGACAUUAAUAAAUUUUGAAAAAAACUAGGAUUAGAUACCCUAUUAUAAAAAUUUAAAUUUAACAAUCUUAAAAUAGUAUGUAAUUUUUUAUAAAAACUUAAAUAAUUUGGCGGUAUUUUAGUUCAUUUAGAGGAAUCUGUCUAAUAAUUGAUAAUCCACGAUUAAAUUUACUUAAUUUUACUUUUGUAUAUCGUUGUUAAAAAAAUAUUUUUAAAUGAUUAUAAUAUUUUAAAAUUUAAAAUAAAAAUUAAAUCAGAUCAAGAUGCAGAUUAUAAUUAAGAAUAUGAUGGAUUACAAUAAAUUUUAUUUUAUUGGAUAUUAAUUUGGAAUAAGUUAAUUGAAAUUGGAUUUAAAUGUAAUUUUAUUAAUUUUGUUAAAAUGAUUAAAAAUUAAAAUAUGUACAUAUUGCCCGUCGCUUUCAUUUAUAAAUUGAAAUAAGUCGUAACAAAGUAGAGGUACUGGAAAGUGUUUCUAGAAAGAU
RNAcentral lists this ribosomal RNA (606 nucleotides) under Zygaena osterodensis validior. RNAcentral's name for it is "partial 12S ribosomal RNA". The record is from RNAcentral. Lineage: Eukaryota; Metazoa; Arthropoda; Insecta; Lepidoptera; Zygaenidae.